UACGAUCACGUAUAUAUAUAUAUAUAUGUAGGCACGUGCAGGUUUAUGCCUGUACAUGAAAAAAAUAAAUAAAUAAUUAAAAUAUUUAUCCAGAAUGACAAAAAAAAAGUAAAAAUAAAAUAGAGUAUAUAUAUAUAUAUAUGCAUAACCAAGCAUACACGUGUAGAUAUGCAUAUUUUUAUAAUUUUUAAAAAGUCGGUUUAAACAUUUAAAUUUCAUAAUGAGUUUAAAAAUUUAAGUUCUGGCAUCAAAAUAAAAAAAAGUGAUAUUUACACUUAAAAAAUAUAAAUAUAUUUUUUUUUUUUUUUUAUAAAGCGGAAUUGAAGGAAAGAAAAAAGAAGGAUGAAGUAAAAUGUAUGGUAAUAACUAUAAUAUGAUAUUAAAUAUAAAUCGUUUUGUUUGUCCAAUUUUCAAUCUUUUUUUUUUUUUUUUUUUUGCCCAUUUCCAAACCCUUUAAUUUUUUUUUUUUUUUUUUUUUUUAGCUAUUAAAACGAACACCUUUUAGUGUACAUUAAUUUUAAAAAUUUCAUCCAAGUUCAAUUUUGGUGUCUGUACAUUUUGACAUUCUAUUAUGUUAAUAUAAUUGUCACCAUUGAUAUUCAUUAAACAUAAAAGGUCGAUUUUAGUGACUUUUUUUUGAAAGAUUAUUUUUUUUAUUUGUAAUUAAUGUAAAGUUUUCUUCCCCUUCACUAACUAAAUCAUUAUAUAAGUCAUCUUUAAAACAAAUAUCUUUUUUAUAAUUAUUUAAUGCUCGGUUAUAUAUAUUCAUCAUUUUUAUAGCUUCUAAUUCAAUAUUGGCUGAUAAUUCUUUAUUUAUACAAUAAAUAGCAUAACUAAUUAAAUUAUAAAUAUCACAUUUUGACCACUCCAUAGAAUUAUGAUUAAAACCAAAGCUGCUGCUUAGUUUUUUGCUUAUUUCUGAGGUUUUGUCUUGGUCAUAACUAGGUAUCAUGUUUUCUAAUAAAUUAAAAACCCCUAAAUUUGUAUCACUAAAACUAUUAUAUUUUGUUCUUAUCAUUUCUGUUAUAUCUUCUUGUUUUAUUGUUGGACUUAUUAUUUCUUUAAUUUUAACAAAUAACCAAUCAUUUCCUGUAUUUUCAGCUUCUGUAGUUUUAUCGUUUUCUAUUAAUCCAUCACUUUGUUUAUUACAAUCUAUAUUGUUAUAUUCUAUAUUUUUUUCUGUUACUUCUACCUCUACAUUUAAAUCAUCUGUAUUAUUUUUAUCUACAACAUCACCUUCGGCAUAUUUAUCUACUAUUUCCUUAUGGUCAUAUUUUUUUUUUUUCUUUUUUUUUUUUUUUUAAGUUUUCAUUAUUUUUAUCCUUAUUUAAAACGGCUUCUGUUUUACUCACCGAAUUGUUGAGAUUGUCAAUAUGAUCUU
RNAcentral lists this long non-coding RNA (1381 nucleotides) under Piliocolobus tephrosceles (Ugandan red Colobus). RNAcentral describes it as "lncRNA (ENSPTEG00000013471.1)". Lineage: Eukaryota; Metazoa; Chordata; Mammalia; Primates; Cercopithecidae. The record is from RNAcentral.